This 257-nucleotide microRNA precursor is filed under the name Malus domestica (apple). RNAcentral's name for it is "miR530a stem-loop (mdm-MIR530a, mdm-MIR530c)". Its record names the gene mdm-MIR530a. Lineage: Eukaryota; Viridiplantae; Streptophyta; Magnoliopsida; Rosales; Rosaceae. The record is from miRBase by way of RNAcentral.
ACAGCGCAGAUGCCAAAAUGUUGCUUUUAUCUGCAUUUGCACCUGCACUUGUGCUCGUUCAUGUUUCUUCCUUCCUUGAAAAACCCUAAAGCCAAAGCUUCAGAGAAUGGAAAAGGUUUUAGAUAUAUGAGAACAAAAAUGACAAGAGGAAAGGAAUAAGGGAARAGAAGGAAAAUGGAAAUCAGAAGGAAGAGCAGGAACAAGCAAGAGGUGCAGGUGCCAGUGCAGGUGAAUGCCAUUUUGGUUCAUUAAAAACA